Haplochromis burtoni (Burton's mouthbrooder) is the source of this 2022-nucleotide long non-coding RNA. RefSeq lists it as uncharacterized. The record is from RefSeq and is a predicted model, not a curated record. NCBI's taxonomy places the organism in Eukaryota, Metazoa, Chordata, Actinopteri, Cichliformes, Cichlidae. The transcript has 3 exons.
CCCACCUGGAUAUCCAAACAGAUCAGUUUAUCACUGAGAUGAUAUUGGAGGACAUUUUCAAAUAAAUCCCCCAAACUGGUGACUCUGACUGCAGAAUAACAGGUGCUAAAUAGGCCUCCUGUGGGCUUUUUCUCCCAUCUUACCUACUGAUAGUACAAAUGCGCCUCUGAUUUAGCCACUCUGACACAACUCUAACCAGUGUGAAUGUGGGAUAAUAUGGAAAUGAGGGUAAAAGCAUCGUAUCCUGACAGGGCUGCAGACAGAACAGGCAGACUGAGAGAGAAAAGAGUGGAACGGUACAAGUACAACCAAAGUACAAGCAGCUGAAUCUAAUUACAUCUCUGCUUUUGUGGCACAUACGGACACGAAUCUGAGCGAGACUUCUGUUGGGAAUCGACAUUAGCAUCCACAGCAAUUACAUGGAAAAGCCAAUCAGCUGAAGUAACGCUUUAUGUGGGACAUUUCUUAAAGUAUUGAUGCUGUAAAAUGAAUUUUGGGGGCAAAACAGAGCGACAAACACAAACGUGUACGUGCAUGUGUAAUAUUUAUUAUGCAAACAUACCAACGUACUUAAAUCUAAGUAUGUUGUGCAUGCACACGCACACACAGCAUUGCUAAAGGUCUUCUCCUGCCAGGUGGCAUAUACUGCAUCAUUCAUUAAUCUGUGCACUUUGCCAGCUGCUCCACUAUUUGAGUGACUGGCGACAUCAGCUUGGCGUGCGUUUGUUUGUGCUGGCAGCGCUAAAGCAGGUACAGCGCCGGGCCGCAGAGAGAGAGCGAAAGAGAGUUGGAGAGUUUGUGCUGGCAGAGCUCGCAGACAAUAAAGCGGUCCGACCGCGGAAAACUACAAUUCCCAUGGUGCCUCGCUUUGGCAGGGCAAUCACAGCAAUCACUGCAGCAGCAGGGUGUGUGUGUGUGUUAUAACCUGCAGGGUUUUGGUGUAUGGAGUGUGAAAGUGGAAUGUGAAGGCUGUUGGACCGAGAACAGUAACGGAGAGCAGCUCGACAAAACGCUUAUAUGGAGAGAGGCUUUUUAACGAACUGUCCUUGGCUGUCUGCGCCGAGAGAGAAAGGCUGCCUCUGUUCUCCGUGUCGGAAACAGAACUCGGAGACGGCUUGCAUUAUGGCGAGCUGGAUAAAGCAAAAGGAGGGGAGUCGUCUAUGGAGGGGGGCAAUGACAGAGAAAGAAUAAGGGAAAGUGAAGCAGUCUCCACCAAGCGUGACGUUAUAAGGAAAAGGCUAAAAUGAGCAUUUGAGGACAGAGGAGUGAUCUGGCCUCAGCGCAGGGCAGAGACGAUGGCAACGCUCCUAUUUUAACAGCUGCAAGGGAUUUCCAUUGUAAAAUCAGCUGACUUGAUGAAAGGAGCACUUGUUGCCUGGAGUUGGAAUCGGAUGGCUGACCGUCUCUGUAACCCAUUAUGUUACUGGAGGGCCAGAUUAAAGGCAGUUAUGUCGCUGAAACUAUUUAUCUUUCACGUCCAGGUUCAGCGUCUAGUGCUCAUCAGGAGCGAGGAAUUCCUGCAAGGCAUUGUGGGAUGCAUGGCUCUCUGCAGCCAGCAUCUGCAGGCCAGACAGGGGCGAGUCUGCAGCAGCAGGAGCUUCGAUUCACGUUUUGCUCUCUCUCCACGUAUGCACGCGACAGUCUUUACCCUCGUCUCCUCUUUUCCUCUCUUGGCUCACGUCCUUCUCACCUUCAUCUCACCUGUACUGCCCUUUUAUUCGAUCCUAAUAUCACAAUUCUACGCGCUCAAGACACAAACCGCAGUCCAACUGUUUAAGCAGUGAAACAAGGAGAGCAGGACUGACAUCUCAUGGAAAACUUUCCUUUAAGCCACAUUUUUAAAGGAGAGCAUUGUGUAAAGAUGUGGAUGGACUGAUCUUUUAGCACCAAAUCACAAUGGCUCUGGCCUCGACGUGCUUUGUGAAGUAGACACAAUAACACAGAGAAAACCCCAGAAGUCAGAUGCUGCCCCCCCUUUGAGCAAGCACUCGGCGACAGUGGGAAGGAAGAACUCUGUGUUAA